GAAAAAGGAUCAUCAAAAGGUACAUAAAUAUUUGUAUUUAAUCGAACCCUUUACCUAUUUUUUCGUUUUUCAAUAUUUUAAAUGUGAUUUUCUUGAUAGAAACCAGGAUAUUGAAUGUGGGAUUUGUUUGUUUUAUCAUUAUAUUUUAGUUUCCUAUUGAUACGAAAUUUUGAUGUGAUGUCAAUCAUUCUCUUUUGAUUAAAACUAUUUUCCGUUUUUGAAUUGAUUUCUCAUGUUAAAUGCUUUUCUUAGACGCCUAUCUAUUCAACUUUUUGAUUUUUCAAAAAGUAGAAACUGAAAAUUCUUAGCACUUUCUUUUUCUCCUUUCUGAUAAGUUAAUAUAAUGCAAAAUGGUAUUCAUUUUCGAAUUCAAAGAAAAUCCAUCAUUUCUGAUAUAUUUCUGCAUUUUAAUUGCAGUAGGUUUUCCGUCGACCGUGAGUUGUGCGUAUCGACCCGUGAAGUACUGUAACCAACGCGUUAACCAUCUCGCCUAGAGACCUUUGAAGCUUAAGAGUUUAGAUCGAGAUUGUGGAUUUCUUUCGGUAAAUGCGUAAGAAAAUUCGAAUAAUCAAGCCAUCAAGAUCGAAAUAUACUUCAAGUCAAUCGGGAUUAAGAUCGACUCACUACAAAAAAAGCGCGGCAUCUAUCGUUUAAAUGAGCAUGGAAUAGCCCGAAUGGAGCCUCGCAUUGCUGAAAGGUUUGAUUAAUCUUCAAGUUCAGUGCUUAAACAGCAUCAUGAAGGUAAGAACAGCAAAACGUCCUAGUAUCCUUAACAAGAGUGGCGCCCAUUUUGUUGAAUUAAGGAAAUCAGAUAGUUUUGGAUCAUCGUCGAAAGAACACGGGAAAAGAAUGUUCCGGUAUUUUACGUUGGAAUCGCUGUUGCUGCUCGUCUGCAUCACGGCAUCGUUACUGAUCUUGCCGCUCGUACUUCCGCCAUUGCCGCCUCCACCCUUUAUGCUGCUUCUGGUUCCUAUUUGUCUCCUUGUACUUCUUAUCGUAUUGGCUUUCAUGCCUAGUAAUUUCCAGAAUGUGACCUAUUCAUGAGUAUAACUGGGAUGGAAACUGCCAUCUAACACAUAUAUAGCAAAGUUCAUUGAUUUCUUAUUGAAAUACACUUAAUCUUCAUGAUCUAAAUAAGCAAAUCACAGUUUGAAAUAGCUUUUUGUCCAUCUUUUGAUUAUAUGUUGCAAGUAAUGGACGAUUAUUGUUUCAUCAUGCUGUGCUUUUCCCAUCUCUGGCUCAUCAAAUCCAAAGGAUUUACCAGGCAAAAGUGAUGAAACACCUCAUCUUACAGAAUGCAAGGC
Molecule: long non-coding RNA, 1304 nt
Filed under: Olea europaea subsp. europaea
Lineage: Eukaryota; Viridiplantae; Streptophyta; Magnoliopsida; Lamiales; Oleaceae
Source: RNAcentral